This 329-nucleotide long non-coding RNA is filed under the name Lathyrus oleraceus (garden pea). Its description in RNAcentral is "Pisum sativum (pea) long non-coding RNA (PSAT_LNC023754)". Lineage: Eukaryota; Viridiplantae; Streptophyta; Magnoliopsida; Fabales; Fabaceae. The record is from RNAcentral.
UUCAAUCCAUCCAUCUCAUUUUAUAAAUCCAUUGGAUAAUGUUUUAUUAUUUACUUAUUAAAUAAAAUAUUUUAUUAAAACAAUAUUGAAUAUUUAAAUUAAACAAAAUUUAUUUUGUUAAAAAACAAAAAGAAAAACAUUUGAAAGAUAAAAAUUGAAAUUCACUUUUCUCAACGUCAGAACUAAAUCAUGUUCUCUAUCCAACCAAACAAGAACCCUAAUUUCUUUUUCCCCCAAUUUCUUCUUCCCUCAGUUUCUUCUUAACAUUUGACACUACAAAUCAAAAUUCAUCUCAACAAUUUUGUGCUACAAUUGCAAUUCAUCUCAAC